AAAACGACUCUCGGCAACGGAUAUCUCGGCUCUCGCAUCGAUGAAGAACGUAGCGAAAUGCGAUACUUGGUGUGAAUUGCAGAAUCCCGUGAACCAUCGAGUCUUUGAACGCAAGUUGCGCCCCAAGCCUUCUGGCCGAGGGCACGUCUGCCUGG
Molecule: ribosomal RNA, 155 nt
Filed under: Cardamine amara
Lineage: Eukaryota; Viridiplantae; Streptophyta; Magnoliopsida; Brassicales; Brassicaceae
Also listed under: 65 other names
Description: 5.8S ribosomal RNA
Rfam family: 5.8S ribosomal RNA
About the family: 5.8S ribosomal RNA (5.8S rRNA) is a component of the large subunit of the eukaryotic ribosome.
Source: RNAcentral